RNAcentral lists this ribosomal RNA (569 nucleotides) under uncultured Gammaproteobacteria bacterium. RNAcentral describes it as "bacterial SSU rRNA". It matches the Rfam family "Bacterial small subunit ribosomal RNA", at positions 812 to 1381 of the family's 1533-position model. The record is from RNAcentral. Lineage: Bacteria; Pseudomonadati; Pseudomonadota; Gammaproteobacteria.
UCGAUUUGGAGUUUGUUGCCUUGAGUGAUGGGCUCCGAAGCUAACGCGAUAAAUCGACCGCCUGGGGAGUACGGCCGCAAGGUUAAAACUCAAAUGAAUUGACGGGGGCCCGCACAAGCGGUGGAGCAUGUGGUUUAAUUCGAUGCAACGCGAAGAACCUUACCUGGUCUUGACAUCCACAGAAUCUUGCAGAGAUGCGAGAGUGCCUUCGGGAACUGUGAGACAGGUGCUGCAUGGCUGUCGUCAGCUCGUGUUGUGAAAUGUUGGGUUAAGUCCCGCAACGAGCGCAACCCUUAUCCUUUGUUGCCAGCGNUUCGGCCGGGAACUCAAAGGAGACUGCCGUUGAUAAAGCGGAGGAAGGUGGGGACGACGUCAAGUCAUCAUGGCCCUUACGACCAGGGCUACACACGUGCUACAAUGGCGUAUACAAAGGGAGGCGACCUCGCGAGANCAAGCGGACCUCNUAAAGUACGUCUAAGUCCGGAUUGGAGUCUGCAACUCGACUCCAUGAAGUCGGAAUCGCUAGUAAUCGUGAAUCANAAUGUCACGGUGAAUACGUUCCCGGGCCU